GGGGAAUAUUGGGCAAUGGGCGAAAGCCUGACCCAGCAACGCCGCGUGAAGGAAGAAGGUCUUCGGAUUGUAAACUUUUGUCUUAUGGGAAGAAACGAGACGGUACCAUAGGAGGAAGCCACGACUAACUACGUGCCAGCAGUCGCGGUAAUACGUAGGUGGCGAGCGUUAUCCGGAAUUAUUGGGUGUAAAGGGUGCGUAGGCGGGAUGUAAAGUCAGAUGUGAAAUACCGGGGCUUAACCACGGGGUUGCAUUUGAAACUUAUGUUCUUGAGUUAAGUAGAGGCAAGCGGAAUUCCCAGUGUAGCGGUGAAAUGCGUAGAUAUUGGGAGGAACACCGGUGGCGAAGGCGGCUUGCUGGGCUUUGACUGACGCUGAGGCACGAAAGUGUGGGGAGCGAAC
RNAcentral lists this ribosomal RNA (401 nucleotides) under uncultured bacterium. RNAcentral's name for it is "bacterial SSU rRNA". It matches the Rfam family "Bacterial small subunit ribosomal RNA", at positions 356 to 773 of the family's 1533-position model. The record is from RNAcentral.